ACUCCUACGGGAGGCAGCAGUAGGGAAUAUUGCACAAUGGAGGAAACUCUGAUGCAGCCAUGCCGCGUAGUGUGAAGAAGGCCUUCGGGUUGUAAAGCACUUUCGGAGGGGAGGAAGAAAAUGACGUUACCCUCAGAAGAAGCACCGGCUAACUCCGUGC
This 160-nucleotide ribosomal RNA is filed under the name uncultured bacterium. RNAcentral describes it as "partial 16S ribosomal RNA". It matches the Rfam family "Bacterial small subunit ribosomal RNA", at positions 335 to 508 of the family's 1533-position model. The record is from RNAcentral.